This 253-nucleotide ribosomal RNA is filed under the name uncultured bacterium. Its description in RNAcentral is "partial 16S ribosomal RNA". It matches the Rfam family "Bacterial small subunit ribosomal RNA", at positions 524 to 776 of the family's 1533-position model. The record is from RNAcentral.
UACGAAGGGGGCUAGCGUUGCUCGGAAUCACUGGGCGUAAAGGGUGCGUAGGCGGGUCUUUAAGUCAGGGGUGAAAUCCUGGAGCUCAACUCCAGAACUGCCUUUGAUACUGAAGAUCUUGAGUUCGGGAGAGGUGAGUGGAACUGCGAGUGUAGAGGUGAAAUUCGUAGAUAUUAGGAAGAACACCAGUGGCGAAGGCGGCUCACUGGCCCGGAACUGACGCUGAGGUACGAAAGCGUGGGGAGCAAACAGG